GACAUUUCACUCUCCGUUUAAUUCUUCUUCACUCCUACUAAUUUGUUCUUCAUCAUUAUUUUGCUCAUUUGUACUGGUUAGAAACUUAAAACCUAGUAAGGUUUAAGCUUCUCGACGUUCUCCUCAGAAAAAUAACAAAUCGGACAGCGGAAAAAAGCUUGGUUAGACGACGUGGGAAUAACGAUCCGUGAAACGUCUGUGUUACGGUGACUCUUUGAAACGGACCGUUACCGUUACCAUUAUACCAAGAAUUAGUUGAACCGGCUGAAGACCUAACCAAAAUUUCUGCAACAUCUUUCUACGUACCGAAUCAAUGAAUAUGAACUUUAGCAUCGCAGUUUCUAAAAUGCUAAAAAAAAAAAAAAACUCUUCGAGCCCUUUGAGUCAAAUACAUUAUAUGAAUUUUGAAAUUUAUAAAUAACUACAAUGAUAUCCUGUGACAAAAAAUAAAAUAACUACAAUGAUAUAUUUGCGGUAUACUUUUAGUGGGUGUGGUUGGGUAUGUGUUUGUUCGCCAUUGACGAAGAAAGAGUGUUAAGAUUCGAAACGUUUUGAGAUACCAAGGAGAGCGUAAGAGAAAAUGAAAUUUGAAUUAAUGGCAUAUUGGGCUUUAAUAAACCCCGAGUCGUGAAAAAUGCAGGACCGUCAGUAUCCAACGGAUCUCAAAUCG
RNAcentral lists this long non-coding RNA (670 nucleotides) under Brassica rapa (field mustard). RNAcentral's name for it is "long non-coding RNA (BRAP_LNC003521)". Lineage: Eukaryota; Viridiplantae; Streptophyta; Magnoliopsida; Brassicales; Brassicaceae. The record is from RNAcentral.